This 439-nucleotide ribosomal RNA is filed under the name uncultured bacterium. RNAcentral describes it as "bacterial SSU rRNA". It matches the Rfam family "Bacterial small subunit ribosomal RNA", at positions 354 to 796 of the family's 1533-position model. The record is from RNAcentral.
GUGGGGAAUUUUGCGCAAUGGGCGAAAGCCUGACGCAGCAACGCCGCGUGGAGGAUGAAGGUCUUCGGAUCGUAAACUCCUGUCAGUGGGGACGAAAGCCCCGAAAGGGGUUUGACUGUACCCGCUGAGGAAGCCACGGCCAACUCCGUGCCAGCAGCCGCGGUAAUACGGAGGUGGCAAGCGUUGUUCGGAAUUACUGGGCGUAAAGGGCGCGUAGGCGGCUUGGCAAGUCGGAUGUGAAAUCCCCGGGCUCAACUUGGGAACUGCAUCCGAAACUGCUUUGCUUGAGUCCUGGAGGGGGUAGUGGAAUUCCCAGUGUAGCGGUGAAAUGCGUAGAUAUUGGGAGGAACACCUGCGGCGAAGGCGGCUACCUGGACAGUGACUGACGCUGAGGCGCGAAAGCUAGGGGAGCGAACGGGAUUAGAUACCCCGGUAGUCC